RNAcentral lists this ribosomal RNA (266 nucleotides) under uncultured bacterium. RNAcentral describes it as "partial 16S ribosomal RNA". The record is from RNAcentral.
CUGCUGCCUUCCGUAGGAGUCUGGGCCGUGUCUCAGUCCCAGUGUGGCCGUCCACCCUCUCAGGCCGGCUGCUGAUCGUCNCUUUGGUGGGCCGUUACCCCGCCAACUGGCUAAUCAGACGCGGGCCCAUCCUGUACCACCGGAGUUUUCAAAGGAUUACCAUGCGGUAUUCCCUAUUAUGCGGUAUUAGCACCUAUUUCUAAGUGUUAUCCCCCGGUACAGGGCAGGUUGCCCACGCGUUACUCACCCGUCCGCCACUAAGACAG